GACAGAGGGUGCAAACGUUGCUCGGAAUUACUGGGCGUAAAGGGCUCGUAGGCGGCCAACUAAGUCAUACGUGAAAUCCCCAGGCUCAACCUGGGAACUGCGUCUGAUACUGGUUGGCUUGAAUCCGGGAGAGGGAUGCAGAAUUCCAGGUGUAGCGGUGAAAUGCGUAGAUAUCUGGAGGAAUACCGGUGGCGAAGGCGGCAUCCUGGACCGGCAUUGACGCUGAGGAGCGAAAGCCAGGGGAGCAAACGGG
Molecule: ribosomal RNA, 253 nt
Filed under: uncultured bacterium
Lineage: Bacteria
Description: partial 16S ribosomal RNA
Rfam family: Bacterial small subunit ribosomal RNA
Source: RNAcentral